This 584-nucleotide ribosomal RNA is filed under the name bacterium enrichment culture clone ts0611T. Its description in RNAcentral is "bacterial SSU rRNA". It matches the Rfam family "Bacterial small subunit ribosomal RNA", at positions 920 to 1504 of the family's 1533-position model. The record is from RNAcentral.
CCCGCCAACCGGGUGGACAUGUGGUUUAUUCGAAGCACGCGAAGAACCUUACCAGGUCUUGACAUCCCACUGACCGGCUUAGAGAUAGGCUUUUCCCUUCGGGGACAGUGGUGACAGGUGGUGCAUGGUUGUCGUCAGCUCGUGUCGUGAGAUGUUGGGUUAAGUCCCGCAACGAGCGCAACCCUUGAUCUUAGUUGCCAGCAUUCAGUUGGGCACUCUAAGGUGACUGCCGGUGAUAAACCGGAGGAAGGUGGGGAUGACGUCAAAUCAUCAUGCCCCUUAUGACCUGGGCUACACACGUGCUACAAUGGACGAUACAAAGGGCUGCAAACCCGCGAGGGGGAGCCAAUCCCAUAAAAUCGUUCUCAGUUCGGAUUGUAGGCUGCAACUCGCCUACAUGAAGCCGGAAUCGCUAGUAAUCGUGGAUCAGCAUGCCACGGUGAAUACGUUCCCGGGCCUUGUACACACCGCCCGUCACACCACGAGAGUUUGUAACACCCGAAGUCGGUGAGGUAACCUUUACAGGAGCCAGCCGCCGAAGGUGGGACAGAUGAUUGGGGUGAAGUCGUAACAAGGUAACCGAA